UCUCUCGAUCUGAGACUAACCCUACCUCAUCGGCCGCCAUCUCUAUCGCGCGCUCUCUCUGUCUCUCUGUCUCUCUCUCUCAACUCGUCUCUAUCGCGACUCACUCACGAAACCCUACACUAUUUCUCUCCCGAUCUGAGACUAACCCUACCUCAUCGGCCGCCAUCUCUAUCGCUCGCUCUCUCUGUCUCUCUGUCUCUCUCUCAACUCGUCUCUAUCGCGCUCUCUCUCUCUCUCUCUCUUAGUCACAUCUUUAAGUCUCUUAGAGACGCGAGACUCAUUCUCUUUCUCCAAACCUAACCAAACAUCAAUCCAAUAUCAUUGGUUUUUGGAGCGAAUCCUUGUAAAUUUUGGAGGGCUCUGGUUCAUUCUAAGGUAAUUUGUAUGUAUUUGGUUUGGAUUCUUAGUUGUUUUCAUUUUCCCUAAUUUAGUAGAUUAUUAGGGUUUCGAAAUUUUGGUAUUCUGUUGAAAUUAACGCAAUUUUUUCUUAAUUUUGCAGUUGUUGUGCUUAGUCUCUGUGGGUUUGGAUUAAUAGGCAAAAUUGAAGGUAUAAAUAUUUCUGUCUCAAUCUCUGUGCGUGGCUUAAAAGGAAUGGGAGAAUUAGAAUUAUAUAUUUUUAAAUCAUCAGCUCCACAUGGCUUUACUUUAGAUGUAUGGAUUUUUGGUAUUUUCUUUCUUUAUGUGAAUAUGAUCUGACCUUCAAUUUUAAUCUUCCUGUGUUCUGUUUGUUCUGCAGAUUGUUGCGUUGCAGCUUUCUGGUAAGCACUCUUAUACUAUGACAUUUUCAUGUCAAUGAUUUCAUUGUAUACUCUGUUCAAUUUUUCUGUACUCAAUGUUGUGAAUUAUCUAAUUUGUUCUUUGUAACAUGAUCACAGUGGUCCGAAUUGCCCCG
This 892-nucleotide long non-coding RNA is filed under the name Prunus dulcis (almond). Its description in RNAcentral is "sRNA ncRNA". The record is from RNAcentral. Lineage: Eukaryota; Viridiplantae; Streptophyta; Magnoliopsida; Rosales; Rosaceae.